Molecule: non-coding RNA, 3936 nt
Organism: Manis javanica (Malayan pangolin)
Lineage: Eukaryota; Metazoa; Chordata; Mammalia; Pholidota; Manidae
Source: RefSeq, a predicted model, not a curated record
GCGGGGCGGGGGCUCGGACCCCGGGCUCCAGCCGGCACCGGAAACGCGCUGUGGUCCGCAAGACCCACAGGAAGUGUGUAACGACACCUCCUACGACGCACACCGAGUUCGUGUUCGUCGCUGCCCAAGGAGGUGUGGACCGACUCCCCCCCGCGCCACACACCCACGCGCACGAGCUCGGUGUCUGCACCACGACAGGUGUGGAACCCACGAUCCCCGCUACGAUCUGAAGUGGGCAGCACCCCUUCCGGCCACAAGCGCGGGGCGCGGUUCCCGGUGACCCCGGAGCUCCGUACAGCUCCACCUAAACGCAAGGAGCAGACCUUGCAAGAACCCGCUCCGUUCGUCAGUUGUGUGACACCUGUUUUAAGGCACUGAGUCAAGUCACCUUCACCGCUAGGAAUGUGCAAGAACAACUCCGACCGACAGACGUACUUACCCACAGUCACUGCUGCCCAGUGGAAGUUCCUAACCCAACUACAACACAUGCACCCAUCCCGUGGAGCGAGCCGGGCCGCUUUCUGACACCUAAAGCACACCGAGACCGGGGAAGCGCACAACAAUACUACCUACACGGCUCGGCACAGCAGAGCUUUGAGACCGUUUGGAGAAUGCAAAGAAAAAGUCUUUAGAAAACUUGUGUAGAAAAGGAGCCUUCUGGCAACAUCUGACGGAAAUCCUCACAUGGCUAGAAAUCACUGGGACAUGCCAAAGGAAGUGAGAUUGCCUCCCCAAAGUCAAUCCAUCCGGGCUCAUGGAUGGGGAGAACUCCUUCAUGAGACUCACGGCAAAAUUCAUUCAACUUCUGGUUUAGAAUGCUCAAGUAUCUGCGUACUACUCUUGAGAGUCAAGAAAGUCAGUAUGGUACAACAGAAAGAGCACUGAGCUGUAAGUCAGGUGAGUAGGAUUUUUGUACCAGCUAUGCCAUGAUUUUUGGCAAGCUACAUUGGCAUCGCUGGGCCUCAGUCUCCUGCCUCUAAAAUAUGGAGCUUCUUUCUUAAGUUUAUCAUCUCUCGUUCCCUUCUACUAAAAUGUAGAGUCUUUGUUCAUUGUGUAUGCUCAGCACUGAAAACAGUAAGAAUCGCACCUUAAGCCAACAAUAAAUAGUAGUUGCAUUUUGGGGCCCCCUUUAAUUCAGAUACUACUUUUAUGUAGGAAAUACUAUAAAAUUAAGAGAAUCAAAAGGAAGAAUUUUUGAAGUACUUACAAUCCUCCUACCCAGAGAUAAUCACUAUUAAUAUUUGCAUAUAGUUUUCACUGUUUUAGGUGUAUAUUUUAAUCUGUUUAUGAAAUAAUUUGAGACUCUACAAUAGUACACUACUAAUUAUACAUUGUCAAAACUGUGAACAGUACCUUACUCAUUUACUUACAUGUACCUUAGCUUAUAUUUAAAGCAAUGAAAGUCAAUUUGUUUAACUGUACUUUAGGUUUCAGAGUUUCUAGUAAUUUAGAUAACUUCAAACCAUUGUUGAAUCAUCAUUUAAAAUCAUCACAUACUGAAAUAACUUAUAUAAUUCAGUCCGCAAGAUGAGAAGUUUUGUCAUUAUUAAGAGCCACUGUUCCCUUUUCCAUGCAUUCAACAAACAGUUACUGAGCACUUACACUGCUCAGGGAAGCACUAUUGUAGGGACUGCAGACAAAUGCAUGGACAAAACAGACAAAAAGCCCCUCCCUUCAUGGCAAUUACAUUCUAACACACAUCCCUGUUUCAAAGAGUACACAAUGAACUUGGGGAAUUUCCUAAAAGUUAGGAAGUUAGAAAAUAACAUCUCUACUUUAUAUCUAAAGUUCCUUUAUUAGGAGGAAGUUUACUCACCCAAUGUUUAAAGACCUCUUAUCUUGCUCUUGAAGUGAUUAUCUUACUAAUACAAAAUAGCAGCUAAUAUUUAUUAAGUGUGCAUCUUUUGCUGGGUAUGCCGCUGUAUAUAGUUCAUACACAUUAUCUGAAUGAAUUCUGUAAGGUAAGUACUGUUAUUAUUCCCAUUCACAGAUGAAAGCACUGAGGCCAGCGGGGUUAAGUAACUUAUCCAAGGUUACAGGAGCUAGAAUUCAAAUACCUGGCAGCUUGACUUCAGGGCCAGGAUUUCAGCCACCGUGUGUGACCAAUGGGUCAUCCUUUGUUAACCAACAUUCUCAGAGUUACCAUCUCACUCCCAUGAACUGCAAAAUUUUUCUGUAAAUAUUUCCAUAUAGUCCCCAUUGAGACUGUAUGCAUAAUAUACACCCUAGUCUCAGAGUAGACUAUAUGAAGGGUAUAAGAAUUCUUCAAGAUUCUAAAUUAAGAAUAUGUCAUAUAUGUAUAUGUGUCAUGUGUGUUUCUAUGUGUAGACGCACACAUACAACAUAAGAACAAGGAAUGACUUCCCCAAACAACCUACCUUUCCUUUAAUGAUCUUUCUAUGGGUGAUACAAAGAAGGCCUAAAUAGACAGUCAAAAUCAGGAAGUGAGUCAUAACAUUAUUCUUAGCAAGAUUUUGGAAUGCCAUAGACUAACCCAACACGUUGUAAAACUGAUAAGAGUAAAAACAGAUUAACAAUAGGACUGAUCAAAUGAAAUUCACUGAUUUCUGGGAAAGAAAACAGAAAUAUUUGUAAUGAAAUCUGAUAUACCUCAGAUCAUACGAAUUCUAAAGGUGACCCUAAAGCCUAAGUAUUAAGGAAUAACUGAAGAAGUACCUAAAAGCUUCUGGUUGAUUCUCCUGAUUACAAGAUGCUCAAACAGUAACAAGAGUCUUAGAUCAAGCAAAGAUUUUCUUCCACAUAAACAUAUAGAGUUCAUGUCAGGCUUAAAAUAUCAGCAUUGCCUUUGACUCCUUCUACUCUGGGGAGCUUGAGCCAUCUCUUUAAACCUGCCGGUCCCCACCAAGCACACGCAUGUAUUCUUGUGUGUACUCACUGAAUCGAAGAUACACUGAUUAUAAAGUGUACCAAUAAGGAAAAACACCUGCCAAUUAACUGAUGGUGCAUUGUCAAUUGUAAGAGCAUCCUGAUAUCAAAGCUUUAAAAAUGUGAAAACAAAGGCAUCUCAGAAUCAAUGAAAUAUGGUAUAAACUGCUGUUUAAAGGCUGCUACCUUGCCACCUUGCCAUCCCUGGUUAGCUAAGUUCUCGUGUCUAUCUGUAAUGUGGUCCAGGGGACAGAGGACUGCAGCUCUUCUGUUUUGCUGCUUUUUGUUAUCUUUACUGUUGUUACCUUUCUCUCUGCUGCCAGUAUCAAGAUGAGUAGCUGCCACUCCCAGACUCCUCACCCCAGCCCACAUUCAAUCUAUCCCAAAAUGGACUGUCCUCUUCUACCACACUUGUUCUGACCAGUCAAGAGGAAGCAGGCGUUUUGAACAGCAGCCCUCAUCCCUCCCUCCUCCACAUCUCCAUUUCAGCAGAAACUAUUAAAUAAGUCUUAUAAAAAGAAAAAUUAUACUUCUGAAGGUGACCUAGUUGGGACCUGAGAUCCUCUUGUUGUGAAACUACUGAAGAUCUGCUCUCUGAUCCUUCCUCUGGAUGUGUUGAAUUCAGUGGGGUGAAAGUUCUGGACCAGAACUGAGUAAUGUAGCCAGUGUGAAGAAGAAACAUUGAGCCAGAGAGGACCAACAGUAGACUGGGACACUGUUUUGACCAUCGAUAAUAUAUGUUACACUGUAUCCAUUCCAUUAACUGCAAUAAAUCUCCUUUUCCUUGAAGGGCAAUAAUGUUGGGAGAUUACUUCUGGUUCCAACAAGCAUACAGAGAGAGCCACUCUACACAGUCUAGGAAGAGAAACAAGUUUUUUAAAUAGAGGUCUCACAAACAGCCAGAAACCUGGACACACUCUCAAAUCCAUUUUUAUUGCCUUAGUCAUGAAUAAUGUAAUAUUCUAGCCAGCUUUCCUGCCUCUUCUAUCUUACAAACCAUCCAAUAUUCAGAGCCAAAUGAAACUUCCUAAACCUCAUUAACAGCCAUAU